RNAcentral lists this ribosomal RNA (253 nucleotides) under uncultured bacterium. RNAcentral's name for it is "partial 16S ribosomal RNA". It matches the Rfam family "Bacterial small subunit ribosomal RNA", at positions 524 to 776 of the family's 1533-position model. The record is from RNAcentral.
GACAGAGGUGCCGAGCGUUAGGCGGAAUCACUGGGCUUAAAGCGCGUGUAGGCGGGUCCGUCAGUGCCUUGUGAAAUCCCACGGCUCAACCGUGGAACUGCUGGGCAUACUGCGGGUCUUGGGCCAUCUAGGGGCGAGCGGAACAAGCGGUGGAGCGGUGAAAUGCGUAGAUAUCGCUUGGAACGCCAAUGGUGAAAACAGCUCGCUGGGGAUGUGCCGACGCUGAGACGCGAAAGCCAGGGGAGCAAACGGG